This 440-nucleotide ribosomal RNA is filed under the name uncultured bacterium. RNAcentral's name for it is "partial 16S ribosomal RNA". It matches the Rfam family "Bacterial small subunit ribosomal RNA", at positions 338 to 795 of the family's 1533-position model. The record is from RNAcentral.
CCUACGGGAGGCAGCAGUGGGGAAUAUUGCACAAUGGGGGAAACCCUGAUGCAGCGACGCCGCGUGAAGGAAGAAGUAUUUCGGUAUGUAAACUUCUAUCAGCAGGGAAGAAAAUGUCGGUUCCUGACUAAGAAGCCCCGGCUAACUACGUGCCAGCAGCCGCGGGAUUACGUCGGGGACAAGCGUUCUCCUGAUUUACUGGGUGUAAAGGGAGCGUAGGCGGUUUAGCAAGUCAGAAGUGAAAGAUCGGGGGUCAACUCCGGUACUGCUUUUGAAACUGUUGCACUAGAUUGCAGGAGAGGGAAGUGGAAUUCCUAGGGUAGCGGUGAAAUGCGUAGAUAUUAGGAGGAACACCAGUGGCGAAGGCGGCUUACUGGACUGUAAAUGACGCUGAGGCUCGAAAGCGUGGGGAGCAAACAGGAUUAGAUACCCUAGUAGUC